Molecule: ribosomal RNA, 27 nt
Filed under: Xanthomonas vasicola pv. musacearum NCPPB 4394
Lineage: Bacteria; Pseudomonadati; Pseudomonadota; Gammaproteobacteria; Lysobacterales; Lysobacteraceae
Source: RNAcentral
CACCCGAUCCCAUCCCGAACUCGGAAG